AAUGGACCAAUUUGUAAGUCGCUCUGGAUAAGAGCAUCUGCUAAAUGACUUAAA
Non-coding RNA from Salmo salar (Atlantic salmon), 54 nucleotides. Lineage: Eukaryota; Metazoa; Chordata; Actinopteri; Salmoniformes; Salmonidae. The record is from Rfam.